Long non-coding RNA from Engraulis encrasicolus (European anchovy), 746 nucleotides. RefSeq lists it as uncharacterized. The transcript is spliced from 3 exons. The record is from RefSeq and is a predicted model, not a curated record. NCBI's taxonomy places the organism in Eukaryota, Metazoa, Chordata, Actinopteri, Clupeiformes, Engraulidae.
AGAUUGAAGUUUACAUGGACGUUGUGCGAGAUGAGCGUGGGGCUGAUUGACUGGGGAAACGGCUGUGUACGGCGGCUAGAGGAGACACUGCGUCUUAAGUUAAAUUUAUUACACUUUGGAAAUUAGUACACUGCACUUCGACGAGACCAGCAUGGCGUCGCACUAAAAUAACAUCGAUGUUAUGGAGCUAAUAGUGCCAUACCGGUGGAGUGAUCUACACUAGAAUCACACUGAUACCGUGUAUUCAGACAGUUAAUACACCGAGUAAACCAACGAAAGUCAAUCGAGCCCCUCGGUGAUCUCUCACAACGCACUUGCUCAAUUAUGUUGAAUUAAUUGUUCCGGUGAUGUGGAAAUAACACUAAGAAGCUAGUUAGGACUUAAUUGCUUUGUGAUUGAAGAAUAACGUACUGAUUUUCCACAGGGGGAAACGUGAAGGCCUUUAGGUAUUGUUUUGGCAAGCUAGGAGAACACAUCUGACAGACAAAAAGGUUUCAUCAAAGACACACAGACAGCUCCUGAAGUAAAGGACCUACACAGGACCUUCAUAUCAAGGACAUUGACUGUGUGGAUCUCGAGGUGCAGUUACCCAAAAGUUGCUACCCACGGAAUACCAGGUUUUGAGGGAUCCUGCCAGAGCAGAGAAUCAACAGAUACAUUGAAGAGGAGACUCCGACAUGACCGCCGGCAUCUUGUGUUAUUCACCCCCACCACUUGUAAUACUGAAUGCCUGAAUUGUUGUUUGC